GCUGGUGGGUGGCCUUGCUGCAUGUGAACUGGACCGUGGGCUGUGUGGUGGGCCCCUGGCUGGGAGCACCCGGUGUCUGUGUCCAGUUCCCUAGAGGCUGGUGGACAGAAGGUCCUCUAACGUCCCACGUGUACCCACGAUGGCCAACACCUGGGAGCUGAAUGAGGAGGGGGCUGUGGGCAGCAGCCCUGUGUGCAGGACUUGCUAUGCGAGUGAGGUCUGGCCACAUUCUGGAACAUGUCAUGCCCUCUCUAGAACCUGGUGUCCCUCAACUGUCACAGGCACCUGCGAGACAAGGUCAGGCCUUUGCCUGGAAGGCCUGGAGGGGAUCUGGAGCAUCUUCACCAUCCUGCCUAAUUUCAGCUCCACUCAGUCCCCAGCUCAGAGUGGCUGAUGCUGUUGUGCCCGGGGUUUGGAAGAUCCUGCACUCAUGUCCCUGAGGUCAGAGAAAAGAAGACCCAAGACGAAGGAACAGGGAAGUUUGCAUUAUUUCCCACAGUCCAGGAGAAAGAAGGUGCCAUUGGCAAGGCUAGUGGGAAGCUUGUGAAAACCGUGGAUUUAUCCUGGGAGACAGGGCUUUGGAUUCUCAGCCAUCCCAAGAUGCAGGGGGACUCGGGACCCAGACAGCCCAAGGGACGGUGCAGGGCGAGUUGGAAGGGGCUCUCCAGCAAAGGAGAUUAAAAAGUAAUUUAAAAUACUUACGACCAUGAAGAGUGUUUGGACUGGAAUUUAGGGAAAAUUAUUUCAUUCCCAGAAUCUGCUUUUAAUUAGUUCUGUAACUAAGGAGAUUAACUCAUCCUUCCAAAGCCCUGGCUUCCUCGUCUAAAUUGCAGAGCCCAGUGCCUAUAAUCCCCAGGUCUUUUCCUGCUCGAGAAUCUCCAUUGGAAGCUUUCAGCCAGGACAGCACUUCUCAAACGUCACCUGAAAACACAGGAGGUCCCAGGGUGAAGUCCCGCGCAGGGAGAUGCCACACAGCCAGGUGACUCGCUGCUUGCAGCCCUCCACCUGCGGGCUCUCCUUCCAACCCCCGAGAGCUUCCAAAAAGGGAGAUGACCCAGCUUCAUGUUUCUUUGUAUUUGAAAGAGAGAAAUAUGGAGAAGUAACAUGAUGACUGCCCACCCCGUCCCCAAAUGCGGGAUCGAGGUUUGAGCACAUGCAGUGUCCGCGGG
This 1169-nucleotide long non-coding RNA is filed under the name Vulpes vulpes (red fox). RNAcentral describes it as "lncRNA (ENSVVUG00000016758.1)". The record is from RNAcentral. Lineage: Eukaryota; Metazoa; Chordata; Mammalia; Carnivora; Canidae.